ACGAGUUAUGGAAAUUAUACACCCUGUGAACAUACCUAAACGUUGCUUCGGCGGGAACAGACGGCCCCGUAACACGGGCCGCCCCCGCCAGAGGACCCCCUAACUCUGUUUCUAUAAUGUUUCUUCUGAGUAAAACAAGCAAAUAAAUUAAAACUUUCAACAACGGAUCUCUUGGCUCUGGCAUCGAUGAAGAACGCAGCGAAAUGCGAUAAGUAAUGUGAAUUGCAGAAUUCAGUGAAUCAUCGAAUCUUUGAACGCACAUUGCGCCCGCCAGUAUUCUGGCGGGCAUGCCUGUUCGAGCGUCAUUACAACCCUCAGGCCCCCGGGCCUGGCGUUGGGGAUCGGCGGAGCCCCCCGCGGGCACACGCCGUCCCCCAAAUACAGUGGCGGUCCCGCCGCAGCUUCCAUUGCGUAGUAGCUAACACCUCGCAACUGGAGAGCGGCGCGGCCACGCCGUAAAACCCCCAACUUCUGAACGUGACCUCGAAAUCAGGUAGGAAUACC
RNAcentral lists this ribosomal RNA (504 nucleotides) under fungal sp. E14427A. RNAcentral describes it as "eukaryotic LSU rRNA". The stretch from base 152 to 305 matches the Rfam family "5.8S ribosomal RNA". Lineage: Eukaryota; Fungi. The record is from RNAcentral.